AUUGAACGCUGGUGGCAUGCCUUACACAUGCAAGUCGAACGGCAGCACGGGAGCAAUCUUGGUGGCGAGUGGCGAACGGGUGAGUAAAGUAUCGGAACGUGCCCAGUCGUGGGGGAUAACGUAGCGAAAGUUACGCUAAUACCGCAUACGAUCUAUGGAUGAAAGCGGGGGAUCGCAAGACCUCGCGCGAUUGGAGCGGCCGAUAUCAGAUUAGGUAGUUGGUGGGGUAAAGGCUCACCAAGCCGACGAUCUGUAGCUGGUCUGAGAGGACGACCAGCCACACUGGGACUGAGACACGGCCCAGACUCCUACGGGAGGCAGCAGUGGGGAAUUUUGGACAAUGGGCGAAAGCCUGAUCCAGCCAUGCCGCGUGCAGGAUGAAGGCCUUCGGGUUGUAAACUGCUUUUGUACGGAACGAAAAGGUUUGGCCUAAUAAGCUGAGCUCAUGACGGUACCGUAAGAAUAAGCACCGGCUAACUACGUGCCAGCCGCCGCAGUAA
Molecule: ribosomal RNA, 500 nt
Filed under: uncultured bacterium
Lineage: Bacteria
Description: partial 16S ribosomal RNA
Rfam family: Bacterial small subunit ribosomal RNA
Source: RNAcentral